UGGGGAAUAUUGCACAAUGGGCGAAAGCCUGAUGCAGCAACGCCGCGUGAGUGAUGAAGGCCUUCGGGUUGUAAAGCUCUGUCUUUUGGGACGAUAAUGACGGUACCAAAGGAGGAAGCCACGGCUAACUACGUGCCAGCAGCCGCGGUAAUACGUAGGUGGCAAGCGUUGUCCGGAUUUACUGGGCGUAAAGGAUGCGUAGGCGGAUUUUUAAGUGAGAUGUGAAAACCCUAAGCUUAACUUGGGGACUGCAUUUCAUACUGGAAAUCUAGAGUGCGGGAGAGGAGAAUGGAAUUCCUAGUGUAGCGGUGAAAUGCGUAGAGAUUAGGAAGAACACCAGUGGCGAAGGCGAUUCUCUGGACCGUAACUGACGCUGAGGCAUGAAAGCGUGGGUAGCAAACAGGAUUAGAUACCCUGGUAGUCCACGCCGUAAACGAUGAGUACUAGGUGUAGGAGGUAUCGACCCCUACUGUGCCGCAGUUAACACAAUAAGUACUCCGCCUGGGAAGUACGAUUGCAAGAUUAAAACUCAAAUGAAUUGACGGGGUCAUAGCUGUUUUCC
RNAcentral lists this ribosomal RNA (562 nucleotides) under uncultured bacterium. RNAcentral describes it as "partial 16S ribosomal RNA". It matches the Rfam family "Bacterial small subunit ribosomal RNA", at positions 355 to 938 of the family's 1533-position model. The record is from RNAcentral.